AAAGCGGUACGCGAGCUGGGUUCAGAACGUCGUGAGACAGUUCGGUCCCUAUCCGGCGCGGGCGGAGGAUAUUUGAGAGGAGCUGCCCCUAGUACGAGAGGACCGGGGUGGACGGACCACUGGUGUAUCAGCUGUCGACCAACGGCAUAGCUGAGUAGCCAAGUCUGGACGGGAUAAACGCUGAAGGCAUCUAAGCGUGAAGCCCCCCUCAAGAUGAGAUAUCCCCUCCUUCAAGGAGAUAAGAUCCCUUAAAGACGAUAAGGUAGAUAGGUUCAAGGUGUAAGUGCAGUAAUGCAUUCAGCUGAUGAAUACUAAUAGAUCGAAGGUUUAUUCU
Molecule: ribosomal RNA, 334 nt
Filed under: Pseudobutyrivibrio sp. YE44
Lineage: Bacteria; Bacillati; Bacillota; Clostridia; Lachnospirales; Lachnospiraceae
Description: bacterial LSU rRNA
Rfam family: Bacterial large subunit ribosomal RNA
Source: RNAcentral